RNAcentral lists this long non-coding RNA (616 nucleotides) under Oryza brachyantha (malo sina). RNAcentral's name for it is "long non-coding RNA (OBRA_LNC002043)". Lineage: Eukaryota; Viridiplantae; Streptophyta; Magnoliopsida; Poales; Poaceae. The record is from RNAcentral.
UGAGAGGCACGUGAGUGGUUUGCAGGUGGGCGCGUGGGAGGGAGGUGAGAGAUGCUGGCACAUGUUGUAUCGUAUGGACAAAAAAUUGGCUGAUAAAUUUUUAAAAAUUUCAGCAGGCAGUCGCAUAGGCAGUCCCAAGAUAUUGUAUUCUGAGAAGCAAAAAGAUGACUUGCAGAUAGAUAUUUAAUAGGUUAUUGACUCCUCCGGAAACACCACUUUUUAUUUAACAGGUUAUUGGUUAUUAUUAACAAGUAUUAUAUAUUUCUUACGUGUGCCCUUUUUCACUCAUUUAUGAAAAUUCACUUUUAGAUGAAGCAAAGGAAAGGUGCUGGCUAUUAGGCAUUAUGAUCUGCAAGUUUUUAACUUUUUGUACAUCCAGAUUGAUGACCUUGCCCAAAGAACCGGAGAACUUCCUCAAAGAAGAAGAGAAUUCUAGCUGUUAUUAAUAUUGGAUAUGUAAUGGGUUGUUUUGUGUUAGUUGGGCUGUAAAUAUUUAUUUUAUGUGAUCCGUAAUUACGUAUAAUUCUCAGUCUUUUGUGGGCUUCUGUAAUGGGCUUGGCCCACUCAUUAUUUCACACUAAUGAAAGAAUAUAUAAUAUAAUUGGGUUGAAUGUGU